This 373-nucleotide ribosomal RNA is filed under the name uncultured Wolbachia sp. Its description in RNAcentral is "bacterial SSU rRNA". It matches the Rfam family "Bacterial small subunit ribosomal RNA", at positions 523 to 898 of the family's 1533-position model. Lineage: Bacteria; Pseudomonadati; Pseudomonadota; Alphaproteobacteria; Rickettsiales; Anaplasmataceae. The record is from RNAcentral.
AUACGGAGCGGGCUAGCGUUAUUCGGAAUUAUUGGGCGUAAAGGGCGCGUAGGCUGAUUAAUAAGUUAAAAGUGAAAUCCCGAGGCUUAACCUUGGAAUUGCUUUUAAAACUAUUAAUCUAGAGAUUGAAAGAGGAUAGAGGAAUUCCUGAUGUAGAGGUAAAAUUCGUAAAUAUUAGGAGGAACACCAGUGGCGAAGGCGUCUAUCUGGUUCAAAUCUGACGCUGAGGCGCGAAGGCGUGGGGAGCAAACAGGAUUAGAUACCCUGGUAGUCCACGCUGUAAACGAUGAAUGUUAAAUAUAGGAAGUUUACUUUCUGUAUUACAGCUAACGCGUUAAACAUUCCGCCUGGGGACUACGGUCGCAAGAUUAAA